This 503-nucleotide ribosomal RNA is filed under the name uncultured bacterium. RNAcentral describes it as "partial 16S ribosomal RNA". It matches the Rfam family "Bacterial small subunit ribosomal RNA", at positions 30 to 523 of the family's 1533-position model. The record is from RNAcentral.
AUUGAACGCUGGCGGCAGGCUUAACACAUGCAAGUCGAGCGGGGUGAUGGUGCUUGCACUAUCACUUAGCGGCGGACGGGUGAGUAAUGCUUAGGAAUCUGCCUAUUAGUGGGGGACAACAUCUCGAAAGGGAUGCUAACACCGCAUACGUCCUACGGGAGAAAGCAGGGGAUCACUUGUGACCUUGCGCUAAUAGAUGAGCCUAAGUCGGAUUAGCUAGUUGGCGGGGUAAAGGCCUACCAAGGCGACGAUCUGUAGCGGGUCUGAGAGGAUGAUCCGCCACACUGGGACUGAGACACGGCCCAGACUCCUACGGGAGGCAGCAGUGGGGAAUAUUGGACAAUGGGGGGAACCCUGAUCCAGCCAUGCCGCGUGUGUGAAGAAGGCCUUAUGGUUGUAAAGCACUUUAAGCGAGGAGGAGGCUCUUUUGGUUAAUACCCAAGAUGAGUGGACGUUACUCGCAGAAUAAGCACCGGCUAACUCUGUGCCAGCCGCCGCGGUAA